Molecule: ribosomal RNA, 250 nt
Filed under: uncultured bacterium
Lineage: Bacteria
Description: partial 16S ribosomal RNA
Rfam family: Bacterial small subunit ribosomal RNA
Source: RNAcentral
CUUGAUGACGAGUGGCGCACGGGUGCGUAACGCGUAUGCAACCUACCUUUAACUGAGGGAUGGCCCAGGGAAACUUGGAUUAAUACCUCAUAAUAUUAUUUUUCCUCCUGGUUAGAUAAUUAAAGUUUCGGCGGUUAAAGAUGGGCAUGCGUCCUAUUAGUUAGUUGGUGAGGUAACGGCUCACCAAGGCAGCGAUAGGUAGGGGGCCUGAGAGGGUGACCCCCCACACUGGUACUGAGACACGGACCAG